Small nucleolar RNA from Cololabis saira (Pacific saury), 70 nucleotides. The record is from RefSeq and is a predicted model, not a curated record. Lineage: Eukaryota; Metazoa; Chordata; Actinopteri; Beloniformes; Belonidae.
CUUAGUAAUGAUGAUUCUGUCUUACCGCCCCAGUCUGAGAAUUCAUGACUGAUUGGUAUCCACUGAUAAC